CAAAUUUCAAGUUCUACUUCUUCUCUGCAUUUAAUCAUUUUCUUCCAGGUAUAUGUGUUUGUCUUAGCUUGUACCACCACUGCAUGGUGUUUCUUCAAAUAUUUGUUGCUCAUAUAACUUCUCCACAAUGAUUCUUUAGUUCUCAUGUUCCACCAUAGCUUUGCAAAUAGUGCGUUAGAUAUAUCUUGAAGACUUCUGAAACCCAC
This 206-nucleotide long non-coding RNA is filed under the name Solanum tuberosum (potato). RNAcentral's name for it is "long non-coding RNA (STUB_LNC007064)". The record is from RNAcentral. Lineage: Eukaryota; Viridiplantae; Streptophyta; Magnoliopsida; Solanales; Solanaceae.